Molecule: ribosomal RNA, 343 nt
Filed under: Calanus helgolandicus
Lineage: Eukaryota; Metazoa; Arthropoda; Copepoda; Calanoida; Calanidae
Description: partial 16S ribosomal RNA
Source: RNAcentral
GCAUUAGUGUUAAGGUAGCAUAGUAAUUAGUUUUUUAAUUGGAAAAUGGAAUGAAUGGCUCCACUAAAGCAUAGUAUUUAUACUAAAAAAUGAAAUUUUAAUUUAAGUGAAAAUACUUAAAUGCUAUAUUUAGACGAGAAGACCCUAUGAAGCUGGUAGACCAUAAGUGUAAUUAUUUCAUAGUAGCAGGUCUAUUUUUUGGGGUAAAAUUUAAUAAUUAUAUUAAUACAGAUUUGUUCAAACUUAUCCUUCUGGAAUUAUGAAUAAGCUCCUCUAGGGAUAACAGCAUUAUGCUUAAAAGAGUUCUUAUCAGAAUAAGCGUUUGUGACCUCNAUGUUGAAUA